This 713-nucleotide long non-coding RNA is filed under the name Anser brachyrhynchus (Pink-footed goose). Its description in RNAcentral is "lncRNA (ENSABRG00000002741.1)". Lineage: Eukaryota; Metazoa; Chordata; Aves; Anseriformes; Anatidae. The record is from RNAcentral.
GGUGAAUCCUUUAAAAAUAUGACCGCAUCCCCAGCAAGUAACUCACUUUCAGCAAAAAAUGCAAAUGUCAACCUUUUUCAAAAUCACAGUCUAGAAAUCCUUCAUAUGUAAUUCCUCAAAAGAAGGAUCAGAUAACUUGGAAAGGGAGGAAGCUUUCCAUCCCAAGUGUGCAAAGCAUUGCAGUCUUUAAUUUAUUGACUAUAUUGACCUGACUUUUAAAAGACUCCCCAACUUGGCAUCAAUAUUCUCUUUAUCUCACAUGCAAUGAAUCUGUCCUUCUUCCCUUUGUACAAGUACUUAAUAGCUGUUAAAUGAUGAGGACAGGCCUUGCUGGAUCUGUGAGAGUUGUACUUCAAGGUACAUUUGGAUUAAUGCUUUCCCUUCCUUCUGCUCUGUUCUCAGGUUGCUGCACUACUUGCUCAAUUUGACUUUUUUAGUGGCUUGGAAACCUUGUCAGAUGAUUUUCAGCAGGAGUGAUUCCUUCAGUGCUGCCACACCAGUGGAGAUUACAGUUGCAUCUCCUUCCAUACAAGUCACUACAGCGGAGCAGAUCCUCUGGCUGUGUUUCCUGUCAUCAGGUGUCACCCCAGCUAGAUGUCUGCAAGGAAGCGAUAUUCUACCUUCGGAAAAUCUCAUUUCCGAAUACCUUUAGAAAUGUUUGCUUGUAGGCAAUUUUCAAAGACCUAACGUUUGACUUUGCUGAUGCAUGUGAA